GUGGGGAAUAUUGGACAAUGGGCGCAAGCCUGAUCCAGCAAUGCCGCGUGUGUGAAGAAGGUCUUCGGAUUGUAAAGCACUUUCGACAGGGACGAUGAUGACGGUACCUGUAGAAGAAGCCCCGGCUAACUUCGUGCCAGCAGCCGCGGUAAUACGAAGGGGGCUAGCGUUGCUCGGAAUGACUGGGCGUAAAGGGCGCGUAGGCGGUUGAUUGGGUCAGAUGUGAAAUUCCUGGGCUUAACCUGGGGACUGCAUUUGAAACUAGUCGGCUAGAGUUCGGAAGAGGGUCGUGGAAUUCCCAGUGUAGAGGUGAAAUUCGUAGAUAUUGGGAAGAACACCGGUGGCGAAGGCGGCGACCUGGUCCGACACUGACGCUGAGGCGCGAAAGCGUGGGGAGCAAACAGG
RNAcentral lists this ribosomal RNA (405 nucleotides) under uncultured Acetobacteraceae bacterium. RNAcentral describes it as "bacterial SSU rRNA". It matches the Rfam family "Bacterial small subunit ribosomal RNA", at positions 354 to 776 of the family's 1533-position model. Lineage: Bacteria; Pseudomonadati; Pseudomonadota; Alphaproteobacteria; Acetobacterales; Acetobacteraceae. The record is from RNAcentral.